Molecule: transfer RNA, 77 nt
Filed under: Citrobacter portucalensis
Lineage: Bacteria; Pseudomonadati; Pseudomonadota; Gammaproteobacteria; Enterobacterales; Enterobacteriaceae
Description: tRNA-Arg
Rfam family: tRNA
About the family: Transfer RNA (tRNA) molecules are approximately 80 nucleotides in length.
Source: RNAcentral
GUGGCAUUAGCUCAGAUGGAUAGAGCAACGGCCUUCUAAGCCGUGGGUCGCAGGUUCGAGUCCUGCAUGCUGCACCA